This is a long non-coding RNA of Bombyx mori (domestic silkworm), 1718 nucleotides long. RefSeq lists it as uncharacterized. Lineage: Eukaryota; Metazoa; Arthropoda; Insecta; Lepidoptera; Bombycidae. The record is from RefSeq and is a predicted model, not a curated record. The transcript is spliced from 4 exons.
AGCUUCGCCCGCGUAGUCUAGGAAAAGUACCAGUGCAGUUUCCGUGGGAAUGAGAUAUUUUUUCGAGAUGACAAAAGAAUAAGUACGCAUUCAAUAAUUGAAGACUUUUACAAACUCGACACUGGUAGCAGUGGCAUCGUAAUAAAGUAAUUGCCGUCCUAAUAAAAGAAGAAAAAAUCCUAAAACCAGGCUACAAUAAAUAAUGUUAAUAAACCUUUUUGACCAUAACUGGACAGAUAAACUUACUGAGGGUUUCUACACAGCGGCAUGAAACAGAUGCGUCUUCAGGAUUCAACUUAAUUAGAAGCUUCGCAGAAUCUACCACCGGAUCGGAAACGCGACCCACUGAGAAGAACCAGCGAGAAACUCAUUGAAAAAAUCGCCCGAUCCCCACCCGCGCGGCAGAUGGGGUAUGUGGGGGUGUUGAACCUCACUAAAAACUCCUGCCGCUCACAACGGGCGCCCCACCCCAGUCGGAACUAUUGAGACGGUGGGACAGGGUUUACGCAGAGCAUAUUACAUCCAUCAAAUUUUUUUUCUUCUUCUACCUAAGCUGAUAUCCUUGAGAGGCUUGAUUUCAGCGUAACCUUAACUAGUAGGUGAGCUCACGGGGCUCAAACCGAUGUGAUGCUAACACUGACCCUAGCAAGAGCAGUGCACUGAGAAGAUCCGGCGAGUGUCUCCAUCCCGCAAUAACUCCCUCUAAGAUGGUUUUCAUCAAGCUGGAUUGUAGCAUAUCAUUUUAACACAAUUGUUUAAUUUUAUUAAAACUGGAAUACAAAAAUAAAGUUAGAUCCCGAUAAACAAUAUAUUUAGGUAAUUAAUUCAAGCGUAAUCUAAAGUUUUAAUUGUAAAAAAUAUUAAAAGUCGAUUUGCUUUUAAACUACUCUUUAAUUGAUUUUAAAUAACUUUUUAAUACUAGUCGUUGGGUGGGUGGGUGCAUUGUUUUCGUACGCACUUGUAGGUACCAUAGACUCAUAGACCUGUCUAUUUCUGCUGAGAAAACGUUCUUAUUUGAAAGGUGCUAUACAUCACAAAUGGUAAUAACGCCAUCUCCGAUUUUUAAAUGACUUCUCCGAUGGUUAGAUGGCGUAAAGCACGACCUUGAAGCUAUCGGUGUCAAGAACUGGAAGGAGAAAGCCCUGAACAGAGCAGUCUGGAGGGACAUACUGGAUCAGGCUAAGGCCCACCCUGAGCUGUAAGGCCUAUGAUAAUGAUGAUGAUACAGCCAAAUGAUGUUUGAUCCCCGGAUAAUUAAAGAGGGAUGGUAUUGUCGCUAUGAAAUUUAUAGGUUCCCAGCGAUCAGUUAAUACCAAGUGGGCCGUCACCCCGUUUGCCUAUAUAUGCAAAAAUAACUCAAAUUACAUUACAUUACACGUCAGCAAGAAAAUUCCAUUUAAGUUUUAAGUAAAUAUUAUAAUGACAUUCUCUCAUUUAUUCUCAUUUUUACGGCAGGCAGUAUCUUGGCUCUGUCCCUGGCAUCGCUGAUGUCCAAGGGUGACUGGAACCACUAACUACCAGGUGGGCCGUACGCUGGUCUGCCUAGAGCGAAAUACAUUUUUUUAUAAAAGAAAACUUGAUAUUUCGUGUCUAAGAUCGGAUAUAUUAAUAAUUCUCAUAUUUUAUAUUUUAUUAGUAUAUUAUUAUCGAUAACCCAUAUUUUAAAAUUUUUACUAAGGAAUACUGUAGUCUUUAAUAAAUAAAUAAAAUCAUACGCA